This 77-nucleotide transfer RNA is filed under the name Eubacteriales bacterium. Its description in RNAcentral is "tRNA-Ile". It matches the Rfam family "tRNA". From Rfam's summary of the family: Transfer RNA (tRNA) molecules are approximately 80 nucleotides in length. Their secondary structure includes four short double-helical elements and three loops (D, anti-codon, and T loops). Further hydrogen bonds mediate the characteristic L-shaped molecular structure. tRNAs have two regions of fundamental functional importance: the anti-codon, which is responsible for specific mRNA codon recognition, and the 3' end, to which the tRNAs corresponding amino acid is attached (by aminoacyl-tRNA synthetases). tRNAs cope with the degeneracy of the genetic code in two manners: having more than one tRNA (with a specific anti-codon) for a particular amino acid; and 'wobble' base-pairing, i.e. permitting non-standard base-pairing at the 3rd anti-codon position. Lineage: Bacteria; Bacillati; Bacillota; Clostridia; Eubacteriales. The record is from RNAcentral.
GCCCCUUUAGCUCAGUUGGUUAGAGCGUCCGGCUCAUAACCGGACGGUCCCGGGUUCGAAUCCCCGAAGGGGCACCA